This 388-nucleotide ribosomal RNA is filed under the name uncultured bacterium. RNAcentral's name for it is "bacterial SSU rRNA". It matches the Rfam family "Bacterial small subunit ribosomal RNA", at positions 28 to 417 of the family's 1533-position model. The record is from RNAcentral.
GACGAACGCUGGCGGCGUGCUUAACACAUGCAAGUCGAGCGGUAAGGCCCUUUCGGGGGUACACGAGCGGCGAACGGGUGAGUAACACGUGGGUGACCUGCCCUCAGCUCUGGGAUAAGCCCGGGAAACUGGGUCCAAUACUGGAUAUGACUCCAUGACGCAUGUUGUGGGGUGGAAAGCCUUGUGCGGCUGAGGAUGGGCCCGCGGCCUAUCAGCUUGUUGGUGGGGNGAUGGCCUACCAAGGCGACGACGGGUAGCCGGCCUGAGAGGGCGACCGGCCACACUGGGACUGAGACACGGCCCAGACUCCUACGGGAGGCAGCAGUGGGGAAUCUUGCGCAAUGGGCGAAAGCCUGACGCAGCGACGCCGCGUGAGGGAUGACGGCCU